RNA transcript from Amphiprion ocellaris (clown anemonefish), 21390 nucleotides. It is a transcript of the gene named golgin subfamily B member 1-like, with no coding region annotated. The record is from RefSeq and is a predicted model, not a curated record. The transcript has 12 exons. NCBI's taxonomy places the organism in Eukaryota, Metazoa, Chordata, Actinopteri, Pomacentridae.
AUAUUGCUGACGCCCCUCAUCUCCACAGAAUUACUGUGAAAACAACGCAGAAAAACAUAGCACUCUCUGCAAUGACCUGCUCCAUGUUUUGCUUUGCCACAAUUAAAGACAAAAGAAAGCAGAGACAAACAUGGCUGAAUCAAGAGACGUUGAACAAAGACUACAGAGCAGUAAGAUGACCCAAACAGAACAAAACUGGACAGUGGAAAACACAGUGCAGUCAGAAGACAAACAAACACAAGUUGGCAUAAAAAUCGAAAGGGAAACUAUAAAAAAACACAGACAACUAACAUUUCAAAUAAUUGAGGAGAUUGCCCAACUUUUGGAAGAGACACAAACAGAGAGAAAUGAAAUUGACUUCCUGAAGACACAGACAGAGCAGCAACAGGAGAACAUUGAAAGACUGACAUCUGAAAAACACGAGCAGUUCUUACUAAUAAAAAGGCUGAAAUUACAGAUAGAAAAUGUUAUUGAGAAACUUCUGGAAAACAAAGAAACUGCCCUUCAAGGAAAAGCACUACUACUGAAAAUCCAGAAUGAAAUUUAUCAAGAAAGAGAAACUCUGGACAGAAGACAUUAUGACAUCAUCAAUGAGCAACGCAGGUUGGCCAAGAUCAAGUAUGAUAAGACAAUAUCACAAGCAAAUAAUGAGUCCAAAGAACCUAUGGAACAGAUACAACAAAGGCAGAACUUAAUAGAAAGGCUGAUGGCUGACAGUGAAAGCCUAAUUGAUAAAAACAGGAACAAAAUGGUUCAAACAAAGAAGGCACAAGAGCAAAUACAGAAAACCAUAGCAAAUACAGAGCAGGAGUUAAAGAUAGUUAAAAGAGAAAUUUUACAAAACAGAGAUCAUGUUGAGAAAAUUAAACAUACAAUGAAUGGAAAGAUCAACAAGCUAAAGCAAAGGUGGGCAAACAGUCAGAGAGAUGCUCAAGUGGAGAAGGCCACAGAGAUGGAAAGCAGAGACAGAAAGAGAGAAAAACAAGUCAGAUUUGAAACUGUGAAGGCAAAACUCAGCAGAAUCCAAGAAGGCAUAGAAAACGUGUGGGAUGUGAUGGAAUACUGUGAACAACAGCUGGAUGUGACUAUGAGAGAAAGAUGGAAGCUAAAGACAGAAACCAGUCAAAUGGACAACAUAAAACUAGACUCCCAUAAGCAGCAACAAGAAACAGAUGGAAACAUAACAGUUACACAGAGCGAAACAGAGAUAUGGGAUGACAUGCAAAGACAAGACAUAGGGAGCAAGUUAGCACAGAUACAAUCAGAAAGAGCUGAGAUAGCAAGAAUAAAAAAUAAAAUACAGACAAAUAGAGAAAACGUACAGAGAGACAGACAGCUGACUAAAACAGAAACAGAUACAAUGAAGUGUAUGAGGGAGUAUACUGAAAAGCAAAAACAGGAGCUGGACAGCAAGUUACUGAUGACAAAAUCAGAGAUGAGAGAGAUGGAAGUUAUGAGCAAUGAGACUGAAAUGAAGAAGAAAGAGCUGGCAAAAAUGAUAAGAAUGAGCAGAAGAAAAAUGGGGGAGAGCAGCAGGACAAAGGAAGAUGUUGAAAAUUCUAAACAAGACAUGGGGGAAAGACAAGGUAGGAGUCAGAGGCAGACAUCAGAACAAAUGCAGGAAUUGAACAUGGAGAACAAAUUAAGACAAGCUGAUAGAACCAGAGAAUUAAUGUUGGUGGAAGACAGCAGGGAGGACACCAAAGACAAAGUGAGCGCUGUUGAAUUAGAAGACAUCAAAAAGUUCCUACAUUUGGUGGGAGAAGAUACAGAGCAGAGCUUGAGGGACUUCACAGAAAAAAAGAGCAAAACCAAAUGGAUGAAAUUUCAAACAAGAAACAAGAGACAAGAGGUCAGCCAGCAGCUGGAGAAGACCAUAAAAGAGAGGGAUGAAUUAGCUAUCAUGAAGUUAAAAAUACAACAACAAGGACAGAAAGUUGAACAAAAACUGGAAGGUGCUAUGACCACAAUUCUGUCAAUGGCUGCAAUGAAUACUAACAUAGAAAAAACUGCAGCAGAGAUUAACAGCACCUGGGAGGAAAUGUUAAGAACCCAAAGGAAGACUGGAAAAAACAAGGAAGAAGCAAAAACAUACAUGGACAAGCUUUCCAUGAAAGGUGAGCUCCACAGAUGGAUUUUGUCUCCAAUCAAAAAGACUUUUGCAUCAAAACUUCGACAACCACAAAGGGAAACUGGCAUAGACUCCUUCAAAGAUCAAACAUUGAAAAUUCCAGCUGAAAACAAAAAAGCAGAGGAUCAACGUAUAACAGAAGCUGUGUUUUUGCAUCACAUAGUCACAUUACAAAAUUGGAAUCAAAGUGACGAAAUAACAGAACAGAAGCAUAAGCAUUCAGAGCGCAAACUUUUUCUUGUCAUGGACAUGGAAGAAGAGCAGAAUAUUUGCUUACAGAUUAGGACAGAAAUUGAUGAAGGAGCAUUAAUAGAAAAUAAUGAGACCAACUUUCUGAUAAAUUUGAGGGAGAAGGAAGAAAUGAAAAAAAAAUUAUCCAAACUCAAGGAAAAGGAGGAGGAAAUAAAGGAGCAGAUGAAGUAUGCUAUGGAGAACAUGGAAGAAAAUAGUCAAGAGAUUAAAAGACUCAUGGAAAUAAAUGACUUGAAGAGCCAGAGACCAGAGACUACUGUCAAGCAAACUGGAGAUCUGGAGGAAAGAGGGACUGAGCUUUUGGAAGAAAUAGAGCUGAACAGUAGUGACAUUUUGACUACAAAUGUCAAUGGAAAAAUGAAAUAUGAAGUGCAAGUUCAAAUGAAUGGCAAAAACAGGAAACGCCAGUCUGACAUGAUGAGACUGGAUGUUAAGCCAAGAAAGCAAAGUCAGGAGUCAAGAGAAGAUCUAUGGACACAUGCUGAGGAGAUGAAUGGAGAUUCUGAUAAAAAGUGUACAGAAAGUACAGUUAUACAAAGAUUUAGUGGAAAGUUUUAUACAACUCAAGAAAUCAUGAGAUCGGUAAAAGUACAACUUGAGAACCACACUGAAAAAAGUAAAAUCAAAGACUAUACAAAGAAAAACUGUAAAAUUCAGCGAUUGCUGCAAGAUAUGAAACAGUUCCAAGAGCUUUUGAAAAUGCUGAAAACUGCAAUAAAGCAAAGUGAAAUGUGCCACAAAGAAGAAAUGACCAACAUGAAGUCAAUGAAAACUGCUGCAAAAAAAGGGGAAAGAGAACUGGAUCAGAAAUUACAGAAAAUUUUGAAAGAGAGAGAUGCAUUAGAAAUGUUAAAAAUAAAAAUACAGAGAGAAACUGAAGUGUUUCAACAGAGGUUGGAGAAAGUGGGAAAAGUUAAGAGAACUGUAGAGAAAAUGGUUGUUAAGACAAGAAAGAAAAGUGAAAACGUAGAGAAUAAUUUGAAAGAGACUGAAGUAAAACUGAGGCAGUUAGAAGACCUGAACUGUAGAAUUGAAGCUACAAAACUAGACAUGGAAAACUGUUUAACCUCCCAGGAAAGAGCUGAGCUCGAAAAAUACAAGAUUGAAAUAAGGCAGAAAAAGCACAGAGAAUCUGCAGUGGAAAAAGCUGAGAGGCAGAAGGAAAGUGUUAAAAAAAGUGUCAGUGCUAAAACAGACACAGAAAGGGAGAAGUUGACAGAAAAGACAAAAGGCCAAGAAACAGAGUCAAUGGAAAAUGAAAACUUCAACUGUGAAACUAAGCAACUAAAAAAGGCCAAAAUUGAGGAAGUGAAACAAACAAUGGAGAGAGAACUAAUUGAAGCAAAAGGACAAAACAUGAACAACUUACAGGUGAAUACUGAACAAAAGAAAAAUGAAAUCAAUGAACUAAAGCAAAUAAACAAAAGAGAAAUAAGAGAAAUGGAGCUGCUGAAGUCCGAGCUGGAAAUGAAGAGACAAGAAAAUGAACGCAUGUUUAGAAAAAAUGUGAGAAAAAAGGAGGAGAAUGAAAUUCUGUGGAAUGAAUUACAAGAAGAAAAGAAAUCACUGAGGAGAGAGACCAAAAAGAGUAGAAGAGAAUUAGACCAAAGAUUGGAAAAAAACGCAAGACACAGGGAUGAGUUAGAGUUGUUAAGAAUAAAAAUGAGAGAACAGAAGGAGGAGCUGGAAGAGGAGAGGAUGAGGAUCCAAGACCUGACAGUUCUCAUCUAUGAAUACAGAGAACAUGAAAAACACAGUUUGGAAAAGAAAGACAUGAAAAGCUUCAGUAAGAUAAUCAGAAUGGUACAUGAGACCUCAAAAGUCACUGAUUCCAUUAGUAACCUUCAAAACAUAAGACAAAAAUUCCAUGUACACUUAGAAAUAAUUAUGAGAGACAUGGGAAUUCUUGAAAAUGUAAGUGUUUAUUUAAGGAAACAAGGAGAUGGACUAAAAGCACUAAAAACUAAAAAUAUGAAUGUAAGGGACUACAUGGGCAGAGUAAAAUCUCAGAUAAAGGACUUUGAAAAAAUUACUACACGAGCAAAAGCAGAGAUGGACAAAAUGUUUAACAUCAGGGAUGACAUCCAAAAACAAAAACAGGAGCUUGCCAUCACACAAGAGAAAGCUAAAAGAGAAAGACAAGAGAUGGAGGUGUUAACGUCUGAGUUGGAAAUGAAGAAAAGAGAAAAUCAACAGAUCAUUCGAAAAUGUAUUCAAACAGAGCAGGAAGGUAAAAAAGUGUGGGCUGCUGUCAAAGAAGAGAAAGAUCUCCUCAAGAGGGAAACACAGAAGAGAAAGAAGGAGCUCAACCUGCAACUGGAAAGGAUCAUCAGAGAGCGGGAUAAACUGGAGAUUAUGAACUUGAGAUUGAAAAGUAAAACGGAUGAGGGCAGAAGUAAAAUGGUGAAGUCAAGGACAUCAGUCAUCACAGAUUUUCAAAAUCAAGUUCAGAAGCACUGGGAACUAAUUGAGAUGUGUAUUGAGAAAUAUAAGCACAUGAAGACACAUUGUACACUUAUGAUUGCAGCAGUUAAAGAUGAAAAACAACAUAUCAAGGUACAGGCAAAAUUAACCACUCUCACAAGGGAAGAAGUUGCAAAUACUAGGAUAGAGAUGAAAAAACGAAUGGAAGUGAUGAUACAUGAAUUUAAAAAUGUGCAACAAAAACAAGAAUAUUUGGGACAAGUUGAAACAAAUAUCCAAAAAGAGAAAAACUCAAUCAAGAGCGAGAAGAAGAGAACCACUGAGAAAACAGAGAUGAUACUUCUGAGAAAAGAGGAGCGAGAGAAUGAAACAGAGAUACAGAAGGGUGAGAUGAUGAUACUGAAAGAUAAAAAACAAAACAUAAAGAUUUUGCGCACACCUAUAAGACGAAAGAGAACAUCAAUAACUCAAGCUGAAAAAUCUAUGUUAAAAAGUAAAAGGAAGCUCAAUCAAGAGACCGAACAAACAAAGCAUGAAUACCUGAAAGAAAAGGAAGAACUCACUGGAGUAAAACAACUGGAAAAUAAAGAAAAAGGGAAAUCUGGAAUGGGUAUAAAUUAUACAGAAAAAGAUGAUAAUGAGCUGGAAGCAGAUGACCAUAAAGAGGCGGAAAAAAAGAAGAGUACACAACAAGGGGAAAAUGUUAAAGAGAAUGAAGUAAUACAAACAAGUGAAAACAACACUGAAAAGGGAAAACUGGAAGAGAUGUCAAAUGGAGUGAUGAAUAGAAAAGAAAUAAAAAAUCAGUGGAAACCAAAACUGGGAAAACGUAAAGAUGCUGAAACACGAAAGUCUCGUUUAGAGCAAAGAAAGGUAGAGCUGAAGAAAUCUCAAUAUCAAUUGAAAGAAAAAUUUGAAACAGAACAACACCUUGAAAAACAAGCAGCACAGGAGAAAGAAGAAGGAGAGGGUCUGAAUAAAGUCAGUGAAAUGAUGAACAAAGAGAAAGUGGACUUGGAGCUGAUGAGAUCGGAAAUCCUCAAACAAUCUGACAUAUUGGAACAAGAGAAACAAGAUAUGGAAGAUGAAAAGGACAUGUUGGAGAUCACAAUGGCUGAGCUACAAGAGAAGAAAGAACAUGCAGACAACUUGUUUGAUGAAAUCAACAGAGAGAAGACCAAAAUGAAUGACCUCAACCUCCAGCUACAAACAAAUCAGAGGAGCCUGGAGGAAAUGAUGAAGAUGAUGACAGCGAAACAAAAACAACAUGAACUCAAGAAUGAGGAGUUCAACAAACAAACACAAGAACUAGAAAGUAUCAAGAAAAAUGUGCUGGCAGAAAGACAAGAAUUGGAAAUUCAGAAGAAGAGUUUCAAGAAGAAGGUAGAAGAGAUUGAAGCGUUCAUGAAAACCAUGAAAGAAGAGAAAGAACAGGUCAAUCAGAUAAAAGCUGAAAUGGAGAGAGAGAGAGAUGCAAUGUUGAAUGAAUCAGACAGAUUGGAAGGAGAAAGGUCUGAGUUGAAAAUGACAGAAGAUCAAGUCAAGAAAAGAAUGGAAUCAAUAGAAACUCUGAGGGAAAAACUUGAGUGGCUGAAUGGAAGGAUGAAUGAGCACACAAAACACAACAUAGACAGAUUACAACUAAACAGUGACACUGGACUACAGUUACACACUGUAUUGGAGCAAAAGCUAGCAGCACUUGAUGAUCAGAAAAACAUCAUGGCUUGUUACACUGAGAUGCUCGAGAAACAACAGGAUGGUAUGAUGAGCUUACUGUCUGAAAUGACGACCCAGAGAGAGGAGAUGGAAAAUGAAUGGAAGCAACAGUUGGAGGAUGAAAAACAACAUCUCAUGAAACUGAAAGCAGAGUUGAAAGAAGAAAGAGAGCAUCUGAAUAAAGCCAGUGAAAUGAUGAACAAAGAGAAAGUGGACUUGGAGCUGAUUAGAUCGGAAAUCCUCAAACAAUCUGACACAUUAAAACAAGAGAAACAAGAUAUGAAAGAUGAAAAGAACGUGUUGGAGAUCACAAUGGCUGAGCUACAAGAGAAGAAAGAACAUGCAGACAACUUGUUUGAUGAAAUCAACAGAGAGAAGACCAAAAUGAAUGACCUCAACCUCCAGCUACAAACAAAUCAGAGGAGCCUGGAGGAAAUGAUGAAGAUGAUGACAGCGAAACAAAAACAACAUGAACUCAAGAAUGAGGAGUUCAACAAACAAACACAAGAACUAGAAAGUAUCAAGAAGAAUGUGCUGGUAGAAAGACAAGAUUUGGAAAUUCAGAAGAAGAGUUUCAAGAAGAAGGUAGAAGAGAUUGAAGCGUUCAUGAAAACCAUGAAAGAAGAGAAAGAACAGGUCAAUCAGAUAAAAGCUGAAAUGGAGAGAGAGAGAGAUGCAAUGUUGAAUGAAUCAGACAGAUUGGAAGGAGAAAGGUCUGAGUUGAAAAUGACAGAAGAUCAAGUCAAGAAAAGAAUGGAAUCAAUAGAAACUCUGAGGGAAAAACUUGAGUGGCUGAAUGGAAGGAUGAAUGAGCACACAAAACACAACAUAGACAGAUUACAACUAAAUAGUGACGCUGCACUACAGUUACACACUGUAUUGGAGCAAAAGCUAGCAGCACUUGAUGAUCAGAAAAACAUCAUGGCUUGUUACACUGAGAUGCUCGAGAAACAACAGGACGGUAUGAUGAGCUUACUGUCUGAAAUGACGACCCAGAGAGAGGAGAUGGAAAAUGAAUGGAAGCAACAGUUGGAGGAUGAAAAACAAUAUCUCAUGAAACUGAAAGCAGAGUUGAAAGAAGAAAGAGAGCAUCUGAAUAAAGCCAGUGAAAUGAUGAACAAAGAGAAAGUGGACUUGGAGCUGAUUAGAUCGGAAAUCCUCAAACAAUCUGACACAUUAAAACAAGAGAAACAAGAUAUGAAAGAUGAAAAGAAUGUGUUGGAGAUCACAAUGGCUGAGCUACAAGAGAAGAAAGAACAUGCAGACAACUUGUUUGGUGAAAUCAACAGAGAGAAGACCAAAAUGAAUGACCUCAACCUCCAGCUACAAACAAAUCAGAGGAGCCUGGAGGAAAUGAUGAAAAUGAUGACAGCGAAACAAAAACAACAUGAACUCAAGAAUGAGGAGUUCAACAAACAAACACAAGAACUAGAAAGUAUCAAGAAGAAUGUGCUGGCAGAAAGACAAGAAUUGGAAAUUCAGAAGAAGAGUUUCAAGAAGAAGGUAGAAGAGAUUGAAGCGUUCAUGAAAACCAUGAAAGAAGAGAAAGAACAGGUCAAUCAGAUAAAAGCUGAAAUGGAGAGAGAGAGAGAUGCAAUGUUGAAUGAAUCAGACAGAUUGGAAGGAGAAAGGUCUGAGUUGAAAAUGACAGAAGAUCAAGUCAAGAAAAGAAUGGAAUCAAUAGAAACUCUGAGGGAAAAACUUGAGUGGCUGAAUGGAAGGAUGAAUGAGCACACAAAACACAACAUAGACAAAUUACAACUAAACAGUGACGCUGGACUACAGUUACACACUGUAUUGGAGCAAAAGCUAACAGCACUUGAUGAUCAGAAAAACAUCAUGGCUUGUUACACUGAGAUGCUCGAGAAACAACAGGAUGGUAUGAUGAGCUUACUGUCUGAAAUGACGACCCAGAGAGAGGAGAUGGAAAAUGAAUGGAAGCAACAGUUGGAGGAUGAAAAACAACAUCUCAUGAAACUGAAAGCAGAGUUGAAAGAAGAAAGAGAGCAUCUGAAUAAAGCCAGUGAAAUGAUGAACAAAGAGAAAGUGGACUUGGAGCUGAUUAGAUCGGAAAUCCUCAAACAAUCUGACAUAUUGGAACAAGAGAAACAAGAUAUGGAAGAUGAAAAGGACAUGUUGGAGAUCACAAUGGCUGAGCUACAAGAGAAGAAAGAACAUGCAGACAACUUGUUUGAUGAAAUCAACAGAGAGAAGACCAAAAUGAAUGACCUCAACCUCCAGCUACAAACAAAUCAGAGGAGCCUGGAGGAAAUGAUGAAGAUGAUGACAGCGAAACAAAAAACACAUGAACUCAAGAAUGAGGAGUUCAACAAACAAACACAAGAACUAGAAAGUAUCAAGAAGAAUGUGCUGGCAGAAAGACAAGAAUUGGAAAUUCAGAAGAAGAGUUUCAAGAAGAAGGUAGAAGAGAUUGAAGCGUUCAUGAAAACCAUGAAAGAAGAGAAAGAACAGGUCAAUCAGAUAAAAGCUGAAAUGGAGAGAGAGAGAGAUGCAAUGUUGAAUGAAUCAGACAGAUUGGAAGGAGAAAGGUCUGAGUUGAAAAUGACAGAAGAUCAAGUCAAGAAAAGAAUGGAAUCAAUAGAAACUCUGAGGGAAAAACUUGAGUGGCUGAAUGGAAGGAUGAAUGAGCACACAAAACACAACAUAGACAGAUUACAACUAAACAGUGACGCUGGACUACAGUUACACACUGUAUUGGAGCAAAAGCUAACAGCACUUGAUGAUCAGAAAAACAUCAUGGCUUGUUACACUGAGAUGCUCGAGAAACAACAGGAUGGUAUGAUGAGCUUACUGUCUGAAAUGACGACCCAGAGAGAGGAGAUGGAAAAUGAAUGGAAGCAACAGUUGGAGGAUGAAAAACAACAUCUCAUGAAACUGAAAGCAGAGUUGAAAGAAGAAAGAGAGCAUCUGAAUAAAGCCAGUGAAAUGAUGAACAAAGAGAAAGUGGACUUGGAGCUGAUUAGAUCGGAAAUCCUCAAACAAUCUGACAUAUUGGAACAAGAGAAACAAGAUAUGGAAGAUGAAAAGGACAUGUUGGAGAUCACAAUGGCUGAGCUACAAGAGAAGAAAGAACAUGCAGACAACUUGUUUGAUGAAAUCAACAGAGAGAAGACCAAAAUGAAUGACCUCAACCUCCAGCUACAAACAAAUCAGAGGAGCCUGGAGGAAAUGAUGAAGAUGAUGACAGCGAAACAAAAAACACAUGAACUCAAGAAUGAGGAGUUCAACAAACAAACACAAGAACUAGAAAGUAUCAAGAAGAAUGUGCUGGCAGAAAGACAAGAAUUGGAAAUUCAGAAGAAGAGUUUCAAGAAGAAGGUAGAAGAGAUUGAAGCGUUCAUGAAAACCAUGAAAGAAGAGAAAGAACAGGUCAAUCAGAUAAAAGCUGAAAUGGAGAGAGAGAGAGAUGCAAUGUUGAAUGAAUCAGACAGAUUGGAAGGAGAAAGGUCUGAGUUGAAAAUGACAGAAGAUCAAGUCAAGAAAAGAAUGGAAUCAAUAGAAACUCUGAGGGAAAAACUUGAGUGGCUGAAUGGAAGGAUGAAUGAGCACACAAAACACAACAUAGACAGAUUACAACUAAACAGUGACGCUGCACUACAGUUACACACUGUAUUGGAGCAAAAGCUAGCAGCACUUGAUGAUCAGAAAAACAUCAUGGCUUGUUACACUGAGAUGCUCGAGAAACAACAGGACGGUAUGAUGAGCUUACUGUCUGAAAUGACGACCCAGAGAGAGGAGAUGGAAAAUGAAUGGAAGCAACAGUUGGAGGAUGAAAAACAACAUCUCAUGAAACUGAAAGCAGAGUUGAAAGAAGAGAGAGAGCAUCUGAAUAAAGCCAGUGAAAUGAUGAACAAAGAGAAAGUGGACUUGGAGCUGAUGAGAUCUGAAAUCCUCAAACAAUCUGACAUAUUGGAACAAGAGAAACAAGAUAUGGAAGAUGAAAAGGACAUGUUGGAGAUCACAAUGGCUGAGCUACAAGAGAAGAAAGAACAUGCAGACAACUUGUUUGAUGAAAUCAACAGAGAGAAGACCAAAAUGAAUGACCUCAACCUCCAGCUACAAACAAAUCAGAGGAGCCUGGAGGAAAUGAUGAAGAUGAUGACAGCGAAACAAAAACAACAUGAACUCAAGAAUGAGGAGUUCAAAAAACAAACACAAGAACUAGAAAGUAUCAAGAAAAAUGUGCUGGCAGAAAGACAAGAAUUGGAAAUUCAGAAGAAGAGUUUCAAGAAGAAGGUAGAAGAGAUUGAAGCGUUCAUGAAAACCAUGAAAGAAGAGAAAGAACAGGUCAAUCAGAUAAAAGCUGAAAUGGAGAGAGAGAGAGAUGCAAUGUUGAAUGAAUCAGACAGAUUGGAAGGAGAAAGGUCUGAGUUGAAAAUGACAGAAGAUCAAGUCAAGAAAAGAAUGGAAUCAAUAGAAACUCUGAGGGAAAAACUUGAGUGGCUGAAUGGAAGGAUGAAUGAGCACACAAAACACAAAGACAGAUUACAACUAAACAGUGACACUGGACUACAGUUACACACUGUAUUGGAGCAAAAGCUAGCAGCACUUGAUGAUCAGAAAAACAUCACGGCUUGUUACACUGAGAUGCUCGAGAAACAACAGGACGGUAUGAUGAGCUUACUGUCUGAAAUGACGACCCAGAGAGAGGAGAUGGAAAAUGAAUGGAAGCAACAGGUGGAGGAUGAAAAACAACAUCUCAUGAAACUGAAAGCAGAGUUGAAAGAAGAGAGAGAGCAUCUGAAUAAAGCCAGUGAAAUGAUGAACAAAGAGAAAGUGGACUUGGAGCUGAUGAGAUCUGAAAUCCUCAAACAAUCUGACAUAUUGGAACAAGAGAAACAAGAUAUGGAAGAUGAAAAGGACAUGUUGGAGAUCACAAUGGCUGAGCUACAAGAGAAGAAAGAACAUGCAGACAACUUGUUUGAUGAAAUCAACAGAGAGAAGACCAAAAUGAAUGACCUCAACCUCCAGCUACAAACAAAUCAGAGGAGCCUGGAGGAAAUGAUGAAGAUGAUGACAGCGAAACAAAAACAACAUGAACUCAAGAAUGAGGAGUUCAAAAAACAAACACAAGAACUAGAAAGUAUCAAGAAAAAUGUGCUGGCAGAAAGACAAGAAUUGGAAAUUCAGAAGAAGAGUUUCAAGAAGAAGGUAGAAGAGAUUGAAGCGUUCAUGAAAACCAUGAAAGAAGAGAAAGAACAGGUCAAUCAGAUAAAAGCUGAAAUGGAGAGAGAGAGAGAUGCAAUGUUGAAUGAAUCAGACAGAUUGGAAGGAGAAAGGUCUGAGUUGAAAAUGACAGAAGAUCAAGUCAAGAAAAGAAUGGAAUCAAUAGAAACUCUGAGGGAAAAACUUGAGUGGCUGAAUGGAAGGAUGAAUGAGCACACAAAACACAAAGACAGAUUACAACUAAACAGUGACACUGGACUACAGUUACACACUGUAUUGGAGCAAAAGCUAGCAGCACUUGAUGAUCAGAAAAACAUCAUGGCUUGUUACACUGAGAUGCUCGAGAAACAACAGGAUGGUAUGAUGAGCUUACUGUCUGAAAUGACGACCCAGAGAGAGGAGAUGGAAAAUGAAUGGAAGCAACAGUUGGAGGAUGAAAAACAAUAUCUCAUGAAACUGAAAGCAGAGUUGAAAGAAGAAAGAGAGCAUCUGAAUAAAGCCAGUGAAAUGAUGAACAAAGAGAAAGUGGACUUGGAGCUGAUUAGAUCGGAAAUCCUCAAACAAUCUGACACAUUAAAACAAGAGAAACAAGAUAUGAAAGAUGAAAAGCACGUGUUGGAGAUCACAAUGGCUGAGCUACAAGAGAAGAAAGAACAUGCAGACAACUUGUUUGAUGAAAUCAACAGAGAGAAGACCAAAAUGAAUGACCUCAACCUCCAGCUACAAACAAAUCAGAGGAGCCUGGAGGAAAUGAUGAAGAUGAUGACAGCGAAACAAAAACAACAUGAACUCAAGAAUGAGGAGUUCAACAAACAAACACAAGAACUAGAAAGUAUCAAGAAGAAUGUGCUGGUAGAAAGACAAGAAUUGGAAAUUCAGAAGAAGAGUUUCAAGAAGAAGGUAGAAGAGAUUGAAGCGUUCAUGAAAACCAUGAAAGAAGAGAAAGAACAGGUCAAUCAGAUAAAAGCUGAAAUGGAGAGAGAGAGAGAUGCAAUGUUGAAUGAAUCAGACAGACUGGAAGGAGAAAGGUCUGAGUUGAAAAUGACAGAAGAUCAAGUCAAGAAAAGAAUGGAAUCAAUAGAAACUCUGAGGGAAAAACUUGAGUGGCUGAAUGGAAGGAUGAAUGAGCACACAAAACACAACAUAGACAGAUUACAACUAAAUAGUGACGCUGCACUACAGUUACACACUGUAUUGGAGCAAAAGCUAGCAGCACUUGAUGAUCAGAAAAACAUCAUGGCUUGUUACACUGAGAUGCUCGAGAAACAACAGGACGGUAUGAUGAGCUUACUGUCUGAAAUGACGACCCAGAGAGAGGAGAUGGAAAAUGAAUGGAAGCAACAGUUGGAGGAUGAAAAACAAUAUCUCAUGAAACUGAAAGCAGAGUUGAAAGAAGAAAGAGAGCAUCUGAAUAAAGCCAGUGAAAUGAUGAACAAAGAGAAAGUGGACUUGGAGCUGAUUAGAUCGGAAAUCCUCAAACAAUCUGACACAUUAAAACAAGAGAAACAAGAUAUGAAAGAUGAAAAGAACGUGUUGGAGAUCACAAUGGCUGAGCUACAAGAGAAGAAAGAACAUGCAGACAACUUGUUUGAUGAAAUCAACAGAGAGAAGACCAAAAUGAAUGACCUCAACCUCCAGCUACAAACAAAUCAGAGGAGCCUGGAGGAAAUGAUGAAAAUGAUGACAGCGAAACAAAAACAACAUGAACUCAAGAAUGAGGAGUUCAACAAACAAACACAAGAACUAGAAAGUAUCAAGAAGAAUGUGCUGGCAGAAAGACAAGAAUUGGAAAUUCAGAAGAAGAGUUUCAAGAAGAAGGUAGAAGAGAUUGAAGCGUUCAUGAAAACCAUGAAAGAAGAGAAAGAACAGGUCAAUCAGAUAAAAGCUGAAAUGGAGAGAGAGAGAGAUGCAAUGUUGAAUGAAUCAGACAGAUUGGAAGGAGAAAGGUCUGAGUUGAAAAUGACAGAAGAUCAAGUCAAGAAAAGAAUGGAAUCAAUAGAAACUCUGAGGGAAAAACUUGAGUGGCUGAAUGGAAGGAUGAAUGAGCACACAAAACACAACAUAGACAAAUUACAACUAAACAGUGACGCUGGACUACAGUUACACACUGUAUUGGAGCAAAAGCUAACAGCACUUGAUGAUCAGAAAAACAUCAUGGCUUGUUACACUGAGAUGCUCGAGAAACAACAGGAUGGUAUGAUGAGCUUACUGUCUGAAAUGACGACCCAGAGAGAGGAGAUGGAAAAUGAAUGGAAGCAACAGUUGGAGGAUGAAAAACAACAUCUCAUGAAACUGAAAGCAGAGUUGAAAGAAGAAAGAGAGCAUCUGAAUAAAGUCAGUGAAAUGAUGAACAAAGAGAAAGUGGACUUGGAGCUGAUUAGAUCGGAAAUCCUCAAACAAUCUGACAUAUUGGAACAAGAGAAACAAGAUAUGGAAGAUGAAAAGGACAUGUUGGAGAUCACAAUGGCUGAGCUACAAGAGAAGAAAGAACAUGCAGACAACUUGUUUGAUGAAAUCAACAGAGAGAAGACCAAAAUGAAUGACCUCAACCUCCAGCUACAAACAAAUCAGAGGAGCCUGGAGGAAAUGAUGAAGAUGAUGACAGCGAAACAAAAACAACAUGAACUCAAGAAUGAGGAGUUCAACAAACAAACACAAGAACUAGAAAGUAUCAAGAAGAAUGUGCUGGCAGAAAGACAAGAAUUGGAAAUUCAGAAGAAGAGUUUCAAGAAGAAGGUAGAAGAGAUUGAAGCGUUCAUGAAAACCAUGAAAGAAGAGAAAGAACAGGUCAAUCAGAUAAAAGCUGAAAUGGAGAGAGAGAGAGAUGCAAUGUUGAAUGAAUCAGACAGAUUGGAAGGAGAAAGGUCUGAGUUGAAAAUGACAGAAGAUCAAGUCAAGAAAAGAAUGGAAUCAAUAGAAACUCUGAGGGAAAAACUUGAGUGGCUGAAUGGAAGGAUGAAUGAGCACACAAAACACAACAUAGACAGAUUACAACUAAACAGUGACGCUGGACUACAGUUACACACUGUAUUGGAGCAAAAGCUAACAGCACUUGAUGAUCAGAAAAACAUCAUGGCUUGUUACACUGAGAUGCUCGAGAAACAACAGGAUGGUAUGAUGAGCUUACUGUCUGAAAUGACGACCCAGAGAGAGGAGAUGGAAAAUGAAUGGAAGCAACAGUUGGAGGAUGAAAAACAACAUCUCAUGAAACUGAAAGCAGAGUUGAAAGAAGAAAGAGAGCAUCUGAAUAAAGCCAGUGAAAUGAUGAACAAAGAGAAAGUGGACUUGGAGCUGAUUAGAUCGGAAAUCCUCAAACAAUCUGACAUAUUGGAACAAGAGAAACAAGAUAUGGAAGAUGAAAAGGACAUGUUGGAGAUCACAAUGGCUGAGCUACAAGAGAAGAAAGAACAUGCAGACAACUUGUUUGAUGAAAUCAACAGAGAGAAGACCAAAAUGAAUGACCUCAACCUCCAGCUACAAACAAAUCAGAGGAGCCUGGAGGAAAUGAUGAAGAUGAUGACAGCGAAACAAAAAACACAUGAACUCAAGAAUGAGGAGUUCAACAAACAAACACAAGAACUAGAAAGUAUCAAGAAGAAUGUGCUGGCAGAAAGACAAGAAUUGGAAAUUCAGAAGAAGAGUUUCAAGAAGAAGGUAGAAGAGAUUGAAGCGUUCAUGAAAACCAUGAAAGAAGAGAAAGAACAGGUCAAUCAGAUAAAAGCUGAAAUGGAGAGAGAGAGAGAUGCAAUGUUGAAUGAAUCAGACAGAUUGGAAGGAGAAAGGUCUGAGUUGAAAAUGACAGAAGAUCAAGUCAAGAAAAGAAUGGAAUCAAUAGAAACUCUGAGGGAAAAACUUGAGUGGCUGAAUGGAAGGAUGAAUGAGCACACAAAACACAACAUAGACAGAUUACAACUAAACAGUGACGCUGCACUACAGUUACACACUGUAUUGGAGCAAAAGCUAGCAGCACUUGAUGAUCAGAAAAACAUCAUGGCUUGUUACACUGAGAUGCUCGAGAAACAACAGGACGGUAUGAUGAGCUUACUGUCUGAAAUGACGACCCAGAGAGAGGAGAUGGAAAAUGAAUGGAAGCAACAGUUGGAGGAUGAAAAACAACAUCUCAUGAAACUGAAAGCAGAGUUGAAAGAAGAGAGAGAGCAUCUGAAUAAAGCCAGUGAAAUGAUGAACAAAGAGAAAGUGGACUUGGAGCUGAUGAGAUCGGAAAUCCUCAAACAAUCUGACACAUUAAAACAAGAGAAACAAGAUAUGAAAGAUGAAAAGAAUGUGUUGGAGAUCACAAUGGCUGAGCUACAAGAGAAGAAAGAACAUGCAGACAACUUGUUUGAUGAAAUCAACAGAGAGAAGACCAAAAUGAAUGACCUCAACCUCCAGCUACAAACAAAUCAGAGGAGCCUGGAAGAAAUGAUGAUGAUGAUGACAGCGAAACAAAAACAACAUGAACUCAAGAAUGAGGAGUUCAACAAACAAACACAAGAACUAGAAAGUAUCAAGAAUAAUGUGCUGGCAGAAAGACAAGAAUUGGAAAUUCAGAAGAAGAGUUUCAAGAAGAAGGUAGAAGAGAUUGAAGCGUUCAUGAAAACCAUGAAAGAAGAGAAAGAACAGGUCAAUCAGAUAAAAGCUGAAAUGGAGAGAGAGAGAGAUGCAAUGUUGAAUGAAUCAGACAGAUUGGAAGGAGAAAGGUCUGAGUUGAAAAUGACAGAAGAUCAAGUCAAGAAAAGAAUGGAAUCAAUAGAAACUCUGAGGGAAAAACUUGAGUGGCUGAAUGGAAGGAUGAAUGAGCACACAAAACACAACAUAGACAGAUUACAACUAAACAGUGACGCUGCACUACAGUUACACACUGUAUUGGAGCAAAAGCUAGCAGCACUUGGUGAUCAGAAAAACAUCAUGGCUUGUUACACUGAGAUGGUCGAGAAACAACAGGACGGUAUGAUGAGCUUACUGUCUGAAAUGACGACCCAGAGAGAGGAGAUGGAAAAUGAAUGGAAGCAGCAGUUGGAGGAUGAAAAACAACAUCUCAUGAAACUGAAAGCAGAGUUGAAAGAAGAGAGAGAGCAUCUGAAUAAAGCCAGUGAAAUGAUGAACAAAGAGAAAGUGGACUUGGAGCUGAUGAGAUCGGAAAUCCUCAAACAAUCUGACACAUUAAAACAAGAGAAACAAGAUAUGAAAGAUGAAAAGAAUGUGUUGGAGAUCACAAUGGCUGAGCUACAAGAGAAGAAAGAACAUGCAGACAACUUGUUUGAUGAAAUCAACAGAGAGAAGACCAAAAUGAAUGACCUCAACCUCCAGCUACAAACAAAUCAGAGGAGCCUGGAGGAAAUGAUGAAGAUGAUGACAGCGAAACAAAAACAACAUGAACUCAAGAAUGAGGAGUUCAACAAACAAACACAAGAACGAGAAAGUAUCAAGAAGAAUGUGCUGGCAGAAAGACAAGAAUUGGAAAUUCAGAAGAAGAGUUUCAAGAAGAAGGUAGAAGAGAUUGAAGCGUUCAUGAAAACCAUGAAAGAAGAGAAAGAACAGGUCAAUCAGAUAAAAGCUGAAAUGGAGAGAGAGAGAGAUGCAAUGUUGAAUGAAUCAGACAGAUUGGAAGGAGAAAGGUCUGAGUUGAAAAUGACAGAAGAUCAAGUCAAGAAAAGAAUGGAAUUAAUAGAAACUCUGAGGGAAACACUUGAGUGGCUGAAUGGAAGGAUGAAUGAGCACACAAAACACAACAUAGACAGAUUACAACUAAACAGUGACGCUGCACUACAGUUACACACUGUAUUGGAGCAAAAGCUAGCAGCACUUGAUGAUCAGAAAAACAUCAUGGCUUGUUACACUGAGAUGCUCGAGAAACAACAGGACGGUAUGAUGAGCUUACUGUCUGAAAUGACGACCCAGAGAGAGGAGAUGGAAAAUGAAUGGAAGCAACAGUUGGAGGAUGAAAAACAACAUCUCAUGAAACUGAAAGCAGAGUUGAAAGAAGAGAGAGAGCAUCUGAAUAAAGCCAGUGAAAUGAUGAACAAAGAGAAAGUGGACUUGGAGCUGAUGAGAUCUGAAAUCCUCAAACAAUCUGACAUAUUGGAACAAGAGAAACAAGAUAUGGAAGAUGAAAAGGACAUGUUGGAGAUCACAAUGGCUGAGCUACAAGAGAAGAAAGAACAUGCAGACAACUUGUUGAAUGAAAUCAACAGAGAGAAGACCAAAAUGAACGACCUCAACCUCCAGCUACAAACAAAUCAGAGGAGCCUGGAGGAAAUGAUGAAGAUGAUGGCACUGAAACAAAAACAACAUGAAUUCAAGAAUGCUGAUGUCAACAAACAACCACAAGAACUGGAAAGUACCAAGAAGAAAGUGCUAUUCGAAGGAGACAAAUCAGAAGUUCAGAAGAAGAGUUUCACAUUGGACACGUUAGAAAUCACGAUGGCUGAACUUACAACCACCCAAGAAAAAAAUUAUCCUCCUGAGACAACCCCAAAAAACAAAAUAACAUGUCAAAUGAUGAAAUGCAUUGACCCUGUGAAAGAAAUGUUUUUAAAUGAACGUGAGGAGAUGAAAGAAACACGCUCUGAGAUCAUAAUUACACAGGACCAAUUUUGCAUUGUCCUUAACACAAUUGUACAUUUGAGAAGCAUACUAGAACUUCUCAAUCAAAAGACAUAUAAAGUGUCUUGUAUGAAUAUUGACAGAUUUGAGCACAAAAGUAGAACCAUACUAAAGCUACUCACUACAUUGGGACACAAGUGUGCUGAAAUUGAUCAGCUGAUUAAUCUGAUCACUUCUUAUUAUUGUCAGAUACAAUGCGAAAAGACAUAUAUGUUGAAAGGAAAGCUACACAAAGCAGUUCAAACUGUGGCUGCAGUACAAGAAUGCUUGCAUGAACACGAUGGUGAAAGGCUGGACUUGAGAGAAUUUAAAGAAUCUGAAUGUAAGAAGGAUGUUCAGCAAUCACCUUGCGUGACUCAGACUGACAAAUGGGAACAUCAGCAGAAAUCUGGUCGAGGUCAAGGUGACCUUAGAGGAACAGCUGUCUCCCUGAAACCUGAAAGGGAAGGUGUUCUGAUCAGAGCAGAAGGUAAAGAAGUGAUCAAUGUCGAGAUACAGAAACUUGCAAAAGUGUCUGAGUUAUCUGCAGAGAUAGAUGACUUUACAGAACAGCAAAUGUUAAAUAGAGAGUGUUUGAGAAAGAUCUGGAAGGGUACCAGAGUUGAACAAAAGGAGAUCAGUCAUAUGAAGUGCAGUGCUCAUGAUAUGAGAAACAAUCUGGAGAAAAGACUAAAGGUAAUCAAUCAGUUUGUAAAGAAAACAUUGUCACAGAAAGGAAAGACACCAAAGAAGACAAAGCUGGAAAAAGAUCAAAGUGAGGACACAUUAUCUCAAAAUGAUUGGAAUGGAGACCACAAAUCUCUCAAUGAAAAAUACUUAGAGCUCCAACAACUUAAAAUGUGUAUGUUCAGUCAAUUUGAGAAACUCCACAUUAGAGAAAAAGUGACACUGACAACUAGCAACAAGACAAAUCAAAAACAUCAGAUAGACAUUUUCGCAGGCCAUCCAACAGUCCAGGUAUUACAACAAGCUUCAACCAAAAUCAAUCAAGAGCAGAUUAAUGAAGGAGAAACUGAACAAGCUCCAGAGACAUCUAGUGGAUUCCUGUGUCAGCUUCGGCAUUACUGCUAUCGCUGCUGCUGUUGUGCUCACUGUAAGCAAGUUUUCCCAAAGGAGAAAUAAGAGUGUCUGGAAAUAGUUCUGUUCACCUGAGAAACUUAAACAACUGAAGAUUACCAGUGUGAUGUUUAAUCUCAGGUUAGCAAAGCUGGACCAUGUCCUUGCAUUCUGAACAGCAACACAACAAUGGUGCACCACGGCCGCAUGACAUGUUGAAACAUCUGUUGAUGGAGAGACUUCUGACCAAACUGGAAUCUGCUAUGAACCAGCAACCACUAAAUUUGGAUUAUCUGGAGUUCCUCACACGCCAUGAGCUUAUUUUGUUUGAAUCAUUCUCUGAGCAAAUAGGUGGUAUAACAGAAAUUACAGAAACACUUCAGAAUCUCCAUUAUCUGGUCCAGUGUAACAUUAAUGACAGUUCUAUGCCCAUUGUGGAACAUGAAACAGAAGUUGGUCCUGGUUCUGGCCACCCAAAGAUCAUAAUUCAAAAAGAACACCUGAAGAAUUUGCUGGACACACAUCUGCCAGUCGCCUGCAUUGCUAAAUUCCUCGGUGUUUCAAGAAGGACAGUUUACAGAAGGAUGCAAGAAUUUGACUUGUCUGUGAGAGGAACAUACAGCACAAUGACUGACCAAGAGCUUGACAUCAUCAUAUCAUCCAUUCAAAGUCAGAUGCCAAAUGCUGGAUAUCGGUGGUCUUUGGUGGAGUGGAUGGUUACUCAAGGAAGGUCUUGUACUUGGAUGCUGCAACAAAUAACAGAGCAAAAACUGCAUUUUCAUUCUUCAUCAGAUCGGCCCAGCUUCAUGGUUUACCGUCAAGGGUUAGGGCAGAUCAGGGAGUAGAGAACCUGGACAUUGCACAUUUCAUGUUUGCCACACGGGGAACAGGAAGAUCGAGCUUCAUCUCUGGAAAGAGCGUCCAUAAUCAGAGAGUAGAGCGAAUGUGGCGGGAUGUCUGGGUUGCAGUCACUAGCAAGUACCAUGAUAUUCUUCACACUCUGAAAGAGGAUGGUCUACUUGACAUAUCUGAUGCCACUCUUCUCUUUGGUGUACACUACGUCUUUGUCCCUCGACUCUGGGCAGAUCUUGAUACCUUUAUUGAAGGAUGGAAUAAUCAUUCAUUCUCUGUGGACAGAGGGAGGUCUCACUCCUGAACAGCUGUGGUGUAUGGGACAUCUACAAGAUCUGGACGAGGGGGAGAGACUCGAGGAUCUUCAGGACCCAGGCAUUGACUGGGAGAGUGCUGUGCUGCAAGAAGACUCUAACGGCACAGUUGUGGUUCCUGAAGUUGAGUGUCCACUGGAUAACGAAGCCUUGGAAGAACUUCAGAGAACUAUCAACCCUCUGGAACAUUCAGAGUCACAUGGUCGUGACUUAUACAUAAGAUUCUUGCAACAGGUGUCUAACCAAUAGACAUUUGGAGAGGAACUUGAAAGUCAACAAAUGUGGACUUCCAGCACAGUGACAGAAUUUAUUGAAGCUUUUCUCACUAAUGCAAGCAGAGAACCCUGUAUAAAGGGAAUUUAUAUGACUGAAGAGAAAGAAAGUCAAACACUGUCUGGGCUAACAGACAGUGUUUUUUUCAUUAGCAAUGAACAUUCUAUCAGUUAAUGUUUAGAAACAUUUUAUUUUUUGUUUAAGAUUACAAGAGAGCUACUUCUGUUAAACUCUGUGGAAGCCACCACCAUAUCUAAACUGCUUCACUCAUAAUUCUUCUGAACUCAGUGUAAGUGUUGAGAUGCUGUAUUGGAAAAGUUACUGUACGAGUGCAUGAACUCACAACUGGGUGUGAUCACAAAUGGAGUGAUCUCCAAGCCGCUCCCUGCAGUCAUGGUCAAACAUGCAUGUUAUUUUAAAAUGUCUCUUUUCAUCAGGGAGGAUGGGAAUGUGGGAUUGCCCGGUCAACCAUUGGAGCACAUGCUGAACUCCAAUAGAGUGUGACUCCUCAACUGCAGCACUGUCUUCCUCCUCACCUGUGAUGUGUAAAAUAUUUCAAAUAAAACACGUUACAAACAA